CCUACGGGGCGCUGCAGUGGGGAAUAUUGGACAAUGGGCGAAAGCCUGAUCCAGCCAUGCCGCGUGUGUGAAGAAGGCCUUCGGGUUGUAAAGCACUUUCAGUGGGGAAGAAAGCCUUGGGGCUAAUACCCUCGAGGAAGGACAUCACCCACAGAAGAAGCACCGGCUAACUCCGUGCCAGCAGCCGCGGUAAUACGGAGGGUGCGAGCGUUAAUCGGAAUUACUGGGCGUAAAGCGCGCGUAGGCGGUCUGAUAAGCCGGUUGUGAAAGCCCCGGGCUCAACCUGGGAACGGCAUCCGGAACUGUCAGGCUAGGGUGCAGGAGAGGAAGGUAGAAUUCCCGGUGUAGCGGUGAAAUGCGUAGAGAUCGGGAGGAAUACCAGUGGCGAAGGCGGCCUUCUGGACUGACACUGACGCUGAGGUGCGAAAGCGUGGGUAGCAAACAGGAUUAGAUACCCGGGUAGUC
RNAcentral lists this ribosomal RNA (465 nucleotides) under Vreelandella stevensii. RNAcentral describes it as "partial 16S ribosomal RNA". It matches the Rfam family "Bacterial small subunit ribosomal RNA", at positions 338 to 795 of the family's 1533-position model. The record is from RNAcentral. Lineage: Bacteria; Pseudomonadati; Pseudomonadota; Gammaproteobacteria; Oceanospirillales; Halomonadaceae.